UGCUCUUAUAAGAAGAGGAAGAGAAGCUGGAGCUCUCCCUCCACAUGCCAUGCACUGAAGAAAGACCAUACAAGCACACAGAAGAGGGUGGCCUUCUUCAAAUCAGGAAGAGGAGUCUCAUCAGAACCCAACCAUACUGGCAUCCUGAUCUGAUCUCCAGAACUAAUCGCCCAGUACAUCUUUCACAAGCCCAACAAGCUGCUUGCACAACAGUUACUUAAAGAGGCUUCUCCUGAAUAUGACAUUCGAAGGCUGAAUGUGUUAUCUAACCUUCUGCAUACUUCUGAAUGUAAAAUUGAGCAUCACCCAGUUUUGACCCAUUAUUUUUAUCAGUGCCACUGAAAUGUCACAAGGCCUUCCAACUGAGAAUGGAGAAACAUUCCCGAUUUCACAGGGCAUGUGGAAUCAGAGGGUAUGCCUCAUGACUCAUCCCUCCUCUAGAAGGGAGCUAAGAGGCAACUGAACAUCCACCCAGGACUGCAACUCAAGAUUGUGGAAGCAAGAGUUCUAAAGUAAGUCCUGCUCAAACCUAGCUGUGCAACCUUCAGAAAGCUCCUUUACAAUUCCUUGCUUCAUCUACCUUGACUAUAAAAUUAAACUGAUGGUAUAGACCUGCUUGCCAGAAAUGUCAUAAGAUUUAAUGAACAAAUAAUUGUAAAGUGCUCCAUAAAUACAAAUUGUUGUGCAACUACUAAAUAACUUAAUUGUGUAAAAUUCCAUAGAAACUAUCCUGUUCCUUUGGGUUUUUUUUUAAAUCACUAUUUAUUUGAUUUAUGCAUGCAAGACAGCGUUUGCCUAAAAACCCUUUCUUACACGUGUAUUCCCUUUGAUUUAUUCUCUUUCACUCUGCCAGCACACAGCCUGACAUAUGUAUAAAGGAUUUGCAAGAAAAAUCACUUAAUGCAUAGCAUUUCCUUUGUUGUGACUGUCUUAUCACGAACUGUUAUAGUUGUCACUUAUUCUCAGAAUUGUUUGUCUAGUUUUCGCUCAGGCUUAUAAAUACUCACCUUGGACAUGGUUUAUAGACAGUGUAGGGAAAACAAAUACAUAUGCUGGAAUAGUCAACUUAGAUUUAUUCUUACUUAAGGAAAAAAAGGCUUAAAGUUUUAAUGUGUGCUUGAUAAGCUAUAAUUCAGCCUGAAAGAUGCAAGCGGUUUAUACUUACUCUCCUGGGUAAGCUCGACAUUUAUGGUUUCAACUCUUCUCAGUACCUCUUCAGUAGGUUAUGCCUUUCCCAGAAGGACUGAUCUCAAAGCACAAUUUCCAAGAAUGCUAUUACCAGAAAAAUGGGGACUUUUAACCAACUAUAUACUGUAGAAGAGUGGAACAUGAGGGUCUCAAGAAUUCGAGUGUUUAUGAAGUACCACGAAUGGGCUCAGCUACUAACAUACUUGAUGCUGCUCAGAAUGCCAGUCCUUUGAAAAUCUGUGAAGUAGAAAGUUUGCCCUUGGUGCCCCUAAAUCUCUUGACUUCAACCUCCAUUCCUGGAAUGUUACCUUUCCUAUGCCUGAGGAAAGUCAUCCAGUUUUACCGGGCAAGGUCUUGGGUGUACUCUUUGGAGAAGACUCGAGAGCUUUGUAUGAAAGCAGGAAGCCCGUCUCAUCACCAGGGAUGCAGCAGCUCACUGCGGUUUGGAGUCACCAGACUCAGCUUUGCCUCACUCAGAGAAGCUGCUGGACUUCUGGAACAAUUUUUAGAUGAGACAGCCAAGGUGCCAUUUUGGAGAAGAUACCUAAAAGAGGAUGUCAUCCCCUAGGACACAGUAUAUACCCAAAGUUAACAGUGUAAUGUGUGCCACAAGAACAUGUCCAAGAACGUAAGGGUGAAAGGAGCAUCACUUCCAGUGAGUUGGGGAAUUUCUACUUUUUGUCCCUUCAACUCUGGACUGUAGGUCUGAAGACGCUGGUUUCAAAUGGAGUGAUUAUUUCCAUCAGAAGACACAAUGAAAAGCCUAUUAAAUUGUAAGCUAUUGCUGCUUCCCAGUCACUUUGGGCUCCUUAUGUCAAGAAACCAACAGUCAAGGAAAGGAAUCACUAUCCUGCAGUGGUAAUUGACCUAGAUCUUCGGGAGCUUGCGCAAUGAGAACAGGAAAUACUUUAGCACACCAGUGGUCCACUGCAAAAUCUUGCUCUAUUCCUUUGACCGAUAUUCACAACAAAUGAAUCCAAGCAGCAGCCAUGGCAUGCGAAGGGCAUGGUAACCAAGAUCUCAGAACACUCAGAGAUGAGGACUAGGUGGCUCCACCAGCUUACCCACUAAGACCGUCAGAGGUAUGGCUAAGAGUGGGUAGAAUGGGCAGCAAAGGAGAGAGAUGAAUACAGCUAUAGCUUUGCAAGCAACUGCAGUGGUGGUGGCUGUAGUUCAUUCUACUGCCUUAAUAUUACAACUUUUCCCAUGAAGAGAAACAAACCAAAAUCUUUAGAACCUAUUUCCAGAUGGGCUGAAUUCCAUUUGGGGGGAUUCAGGUAGUGAAAAUGGAAGACAAUAUUGAUAUGCCUCUCAGAUCACUUUUUAGGAUUAAGGUACUUAUUUUUCUAACUGUUGGGAGUGUUGGUUGUUCAAAACUUAUAACCACGCCCCUCCUCAGGAAUUUCCCUCUAUUAAAGGGAGCUACGUUUCCCAAGUUUACAUCAUUUCCUGGCCUCUAUCCAGUACCCAGUUUAUGACGUGAGACCCCAUUCUCUUUCUUCAACUCAUUCAAAUAUAAAGGGCCAUCUCAGCUACAGCAUUACUGGUAGGAUUAAUGGAGGCCUCUGCUGCAACUGCACUACAGUCCAGCUUUUCCCUCUGCUGAAAUCUGUUUCCCUCAUCCUUCACAGGUGUUUAUCCCAAGAGCUCUCCCUGGUAAACCUCCUACAUGCAAAGCUAAGAGACUCUAUGUUUGUUUUCUAGGGAAACCAAUGUAUGACAGCCACCAUGCUCAUACUAUCACAUAAAGAGGGAAAGUAGCAGACCUGAUGUGCUUAACAUAAAAGGCAAGGGAUGCUGAACAUAAAAAAGAAACUGCUAAAACUAUUAACUGAGGGCUUUAAAGUACUAGAUCAGCCUUUGGUAGAGAGGACUUGAAUUAUCUUUUAGGCUACCAAUUGCAUGUACUUGAAAGGCUAGUGGGAAAUGUUUAAGUGGGAAUCAUAUUUCAGAAAUGGAUGGGAAAGUUCUUAGAUUUCCCUGUAUUACUGGCACAAUCCCAGAGCAAAAAUGCCUUCAACAAAUGUGAAACCAAGCCUCUUUGAUCACAAAGCCUCAAGGCAUUGGAGGCAGAUAAAAUGGCACUAUGAAAUGGCAGGUUUAUAUUUAUAUAAAAUAUAAAAUGGCAGAUAAAAGGGAGACAUCAUUAAUUCAUUAAUCAAUUUAUCUAGAUUGGUCUUCUAAGCCAUUCCCCAAAAAAACCCUUUUUAAACUCAAUUUCCCAAGACAUGGAUGAACAUAUAUCCCCAAUACCAAAACUGUGGGUGGAAUCUCUGAAGCCCAGCCCCCUUCCCCAUAUCACUGUAAGUUCUUGCUUACCUUCUCAGUGACAAAGCAUCCAAAAUCCAGAUGAGCCAAGAUGAUCUGGACACCUGUCUGGAAGAGCAAAACUUUUGUGGAAUUCCAGUUCCCUCAUCCAGCUUCCCAUUAUUCUCUUCCUAUUUACUCUGUGUGUCUUAGCCAGUUCUCUUUUUACCCUGGCUUCCUACCCAGUUUUAAAAUUUUAACUUUUAAUUUAGAUUUACAGAGAAGUUGCAAAGAUAGAACAGAGUGUUCCUGUCUACUCUUCACUCAGCUUUCCCUAAUGUUAACAUCUUAUAUAAGCAAAGGACAUUGUCAAAACUAAGAGUUUAAUAUUGGUAUAAUACUCUUGGCUAAACUACUUUAUUUAGAUUUCACCAGUUUUUCCACUAAUGUCCUUUUCCUGUUCCAGAAUCCACUCCAGGACACCACAUUACAUUUAGUUAUGUUUUCUUAGUCUCCUCAGUAUACGACCAUUUCUCAUUUUUUUCCUUUUUUAUGAUUUUCCAGUUUAAAGACUACUCUUCAGUGAUUUUGUAGUCCUUCAAUUUGUGUCUAUCUGAUGUUUUCUCAUGAUUCGACUAGAGUGAAGUUUGGGGAAAGAAUGCCACAAAGGUGAAGUAUCUUCCUCAGAUCAUCUCAGAAAUUACAUGAUAUCAGUAUGCUGAUGCCAACUGAGUUGCUCACUCCUUACUCUUUUUCCUUUCCAUACUCUGUUUUUUGGAAGCAAGUCACUUAAGUCCAGCCCACAUUCAGGAGGAGAGGAGUUAAGCUCCACCUCCUAGAAAGGAGUAUCUACCUAUAUUAUUUGGAGUUUCUGUAAGCUUUGUUCCUUCUCCCUAUUUAUUUAUCCCAUAAUUUAUUUAUAUCAGUAUUAUCUUACAGAUAUUUAUUUUAUUCUUUGUGUUAUAAUCCUCUCAAGGAACUGCUUUGGUACUCACAUUGGCCACUGGGACUUCUUUCAAAUGAGCUCCUGUGUAUUUUUGACAUGCAGGUAUUUAUCGUUGUUUUUUCAUUUCUUGAUUUUUUGGAGCAUUCCCUUAAUUACUGGCAUUACAAGAUGCUCCAGGCUAAGGUCAGCCAUUUCUCCAUGGAUCCCUGGUCCCUUUUAUUGGAGAAUGGCUGCUAAAAACCAAGAUCUGGGUCCUAGAUAUGCUUGUUGCUGUGCUGGGCUGUCACUGCUUCUAAGGCUCUCAGUGGUCAGAGCCAUGAAAUAUAUGAAUGUAUAUAAACCCACACAUACAAACAUAACUCUCUUUCUGUAUAUAUUGAUCAGUGUACAUGUUAAACAUGAAUUCAUACUGAUACCUGACUUCUAACCUAAUAUCCUGGGGCCAUUCUGGCUGUCCCCCUUGUUUAUUUGUAACUGGUUUUUCUGACCAUGAGAACCGUAACUUAUCUAUAAUUUAUGUACUUCUUUGUUUAUCCCUAGUGUACAUGUAUAGAAGUAUAUAGUAUCCAUGCUAUAGACUGAGCUACCUUCAGGAAGCUAGAAUGCCAUCACCAUGGAUUUAAGAUGAUGGGAAUUUCAGGGCCUGUGCAGGGGCCUGGAAUCACACUCCACAGAUGCCCCUUCCCCAGCGUGCUUUCCUGCUAAGCCUGAUCCUGCCACACCCUCUCUUUUUAAGCAACUCUGUGUUUCUGAAUAACCCUCCAUUCCUGCUACAGGCUAUUUUGCCAUAGUAGAUCCUAUGCAACCAACUGGACACAGAGAAGUGCAGCAGCCAGUUCCUUUUCAAAAUGUUUGCAAAUGGGCUUUAAAUAAUGAAGACAAACAAGUUAGAAGAAAAAUUGGCCUCGCAUCCCUCCUGCAGCCCUGGGGAGCCCUCUUGAUGGCUCACUACUCUUCAGGAGUGCAAAGCUCAGCGGACAGGCCUGCGAUGGACAAGGUGUGGAGGAGAACUGCCUUCUAUUGAUUUCUGAAACGGACAGGAACUAAUGACAGAAGGUGCUUGAGUGCAGGUCUCCUGAGGCUACCCACCAAGAGGAAGGACAAAGGCAGAGCAAUUGCCAAAAUAUUCUCCUUCUAUUAUCCUCUCCAUCCUCAGCCUUUGGCUUCAGCUCUCCUGAUAUAGAGGAAAGGCCUCAUAUAGAGGCUUACUGAUGAAAGAACAAGAAGCUCAACUGAGGAACAGAGGUCCAGGACUCAGUCAAGGUGGGAGUGGGCAUAAAAGAGCUGCUGGAAGGGGUCAGCCUCAGCUGCUCCAAGCUCUCCUUUGAUGUCUAAGAGAGGCUGUCCCCUUGAUGCCCACUGCAUCACAGUCUUUGUCGUGGCCUGUUCUUUCUCACCUUAAAAGGCUCUGAGAGUUUCUGGUGGGGGGGAGGGUAUCCCUGGGCCUAGAAGCCUCUAACAGAGCUGAUAUUCUGCGGAUAGGAGCACAAGUGAAGGAGGCCAUUGCUUGGUGCAAGACUUGCCUCACUGCUGUCAGCAAAACCUACUGAGAAAUCUCUUGCCCUGGAGGAGUGAACUGAUGCCCCUUGCAUAAAUGAUGACCUCACUCUGCUCUGUAGUUCUCCAUCGUGUCUCUACAGAGGUCGCACAGGGCAACCCAUUCAGCAGCUUAGGUGUCAAUGCCUGAUAUAGGCUAAAACUCUUCCUUCUCCCUCCCAUCAGGAAAGCAAAUUGUUGUUUAAGAGACUGAGAGUUAAAUUAUUUUAGGUUUAGCUUUGAGUCUAGGCAUAGGUAUUAAAAUCCAGUUAUAUUCCAACUUUGGUAUUUAUUUUCUACAAUUUGCAAAACAACUUCUGAAAGUGGAUUACAAGAGCCUGAUUAAGAAGACUGUCCUAGGAAGUGAGCAAACUGUUGGGGUGAAGGGGAAAUUCAUGUGUGUAAAAGAUUGUAAAAAAGAAUUUUUCUACUUUCUUUUCCUUUCCACCCUCACUUACAGUCUUUGCUCUAGAUCUGCCUCUCCAAAAAUACAGAAAGGCCAGGCAAAGGACAAAGGGGAAUCUUUGCUUCAGACCUGGAAAAAAUACAAAUAUAGGGUGCCUUAAAAAGUUAGAAAUAAGGUGUUGAAGAAAAUCCUAAGUCUUUAAGUAUGUCACUUCACUGAAUAUUCUGUCACAUAACUUGCCUGCAUAAUAUUUUUGGAAUCUUUGUGGAGAGAAUGGAGAAACAGCUGUUAGCAUCCUUUCUAAAAAGUUUCACAUGGAAUUAUCUAGUAUCUACCUACACUAAUUAUGGUGAUAUUUUCACUAGGUUCUACCUAGAGAAGAUGUUGUCCCAAACCAAGCAGGCAGCAUCCCUUUGGGAGAUAGAUAUUUAUGUACAUUAGGUGGAUUUUGAGACUUCAAACAUCUGAAAAUAAUGCAGAAUAUUUAAAUGGUCUCACUAUUUGGUAGAAGAAUGACUCAGACUCAAAUAAAAAAAUAGUCAAGUAGAAAAAUCCAGAUGGGCCUGAAAGGAGUGAUGGAAGGAAUCUGGCUGCUAAUCAUCCCUAAUUCACCUCCUACUCCUUCUGGAGCAAAAAAGAGUCUGAAGCUCUAAUUGUACUGUGAAUGAAAAAAACUCUGGAAAUAAAAUUAGCAUGACUCAGAGCAGAGCAAUCUGGAAGGCUGGGCUGGCCUGGACGUUCCACAGGUUGACCCUCUUAACAGCAGGAGAGAGGAAGCUGCCCAUGGUUCCUGGUGAUGGAGGUUUGGGUGGAGAAAGAUCAACAGAAUGGAAGCCUCACAGACAAGCAGAAAGAGUCACGACACACAGGAGGGGUUGGACCUGGUAGCGCAGAGGAUGGCCUAAACUCAAGUGGACAGCCCAGCAUUGGGGCACAGGUACCAGAGACUGGAAAAUAGUCAGAAGUAAUGGAGUAAGCAGAGUUAGACUACACUGUAUUUACACAAACACACACUCUUACACAUAUGCACACACUUUAAGGCCCUUGAGAACAGAAUGUCUUUCUCCCCAGCACUUUACAACCCUGAUAGGCAGUAGUAGGUGCUCAGUGAGGGCUUUGGAAGCUGAAAGUGUGGAAGUGAGUUAGGUCACAUGGGUAACUGCACCUGGGAAAGUAAAGAUGCAGCCAUUAGGUCAGGCAAAACGGUCUGUCAGUCUAAGCUGGCUUUGGGGGAUAAGCUAGGAAUCAGAAGGAACAGAAGCACUGCAGGCAGCAGUAGGAUUAAAAAUCUUAGCAGCUGGUCGAGGCAGCUGAGAUGAAGCUCUGUCAAUAAAGAGAUCUCAAAGUUUCAGCAAGAGGCACUGUAUAGCACUGAGUGGAAAGUUACAGGGCUGGAGUAAGGGUUCCUGUGCUUGUAUGUCUAUCUGUGCUUACUGAGACUGUGAGACCACUUACUAAUUCUCCCAAUGCUCAAUUUCCUCAUCUUUAAAAUGAGAAAAUAAUACUACUACUUAGCCCAAAGCGUUGUUGUGAGCAUUUAGCAUAGAAAAGUUACUGUAUGUUAAGUGUUUACAGCAAUGCCUGGAAUAUAGUAAGUAUUCAAUAAAUAUGAGUAAUCACUACUACUGAUUAUCCUCCUCCAUUCAGAAAGUUACUGUGUGCUUUGUACAACUGCAGAAUUAGUCCCAGGACUCAGACUGUCCAGCACUCCAUUGGGAACAUAAGCUGACCUACCCCCCACAACUGUCUGUUCUUCACUUUGCUGCUUUCAUACUUCAGGACAUCACCUUCUUUUUUUUGCAUGGACCACUGCAGCAGUUUCUCUCUCUGUUUUUGUCUUGGCCUUAUCCAGUCAAAAGUUAUCUCUUUAAAAUGCAGAUGUAAUCAACCCAUCUCACUUGUCUGCCUCAUAUCCCUUAUGAGUUCUCUUUGUCCUCAGGAUUCUUUAGGUUUCUUUACUUAAAAAGGAUAAGAGAGCACCUUGGAGAAAUAACUGAUUCUGGGACCGGGGCAGGAAGUUUAUAAGAAGAACCUGGAACAUCUUUUAGUGCCAGAACGUAAGUACUUACUCAAGCAAUGAAAAGUCCUACAAUGGUGGAAGUAUAUCAAAGAGACAAAGGAACCAACUUAAAAGAGCUCCCAAUGGCCAAAGCUGGAAUAAUCUGAACAAAAAAUAAGUUAAAUAGCAUUGUAUUUUAACUCUAAGUAUAAAAUAAAUAUCCAUGAGUUCAUAUUAAUGUAAGUAAAUGACAGAAUACAUACAUGGUGGAGAAGAGAAAUUUCCCCUACAGAAGAAUUCCAAAAAUUUAGUGCUUCACCCUUGAGGAGGAAGCAUAACUCCCCACUUCUUAGUGUGGGCUGUGCAUGGUGACUUCCGUCCAAAGUAAGGGAGAAAAUGAGUGACUUUAUAGAGGAGAAACCUGACAAACCCCAUAUCUCCUUAGGUGAUCAAGGUCAACCUCAACAAUGUAACUCUUAAGUGAUAAAGCUCAUAUGUUAAUAGAAUGUAACUUUGAUACAAUGUGAUAAGAAUCAUACUUCCUCUGAGGUCUUCCUCCCACAACUUGUAACUCCAGUCUAUUCAUGAGAAAAACAUCAAACAAGAUCAAGAGAACAAUGUUCUACAAAAUAUCUCACCAGGACCUCUCAAAACUGUCAAGAUCAUUAAAGACAAGAAAGUCAAACUGUCAAAGCCAAGAGGAAUGUAAAGACAACUAACUAAAUGUUAUGUGGUGUCCUAGAUGGGAUCCUGGAACAGAAAAAGAACCUUAGGUGUAAACUAAGGAAAUCUAAGUAAAGUAUUGACUUAAUAACAAUGUUUCAAUACUGGUUCAUCAGUUGGGACAAGUGGACCCAAGUAAUGUAAAAUGUUAUUAAUAGGGGAAACUGGGCAUGGAACUCUCUGUACAAUUUUCACAAUUUUUAUCUAAAUCUAAAGCUUUUCUAAAAUUUAAAGUUCCUUAAAAUGAAAGAAGAAAUAGGAGGGAAUCAAAAGACAAACUUUACCUGUUUCAAAAUUCUGGCAGGCUCAGUCACCAUUAGACCACACCUCUUCCCCAGUCAGCAGCAGCACGGCUCCUAUCCAAAGACGCGCUCCAACUCAGUUCUUUAGAGAGAUGACAAGAGUGACUGCUUCACCUUCUCCACAUGGAGCACAGAAAGCACCCAGAUUCACUGUCCCAUCAUAUAUACAGGCAUUGGGGCAUAGAACCAAUGGCCUCUUCAGGCUCUGGAUGAACUCAGGCACAUUCCUAAUCCACUGUGAACUUGUUUCCUCAUCUAUAAAAUGAUAAAAAAAAAUAAUACUUAGCACAUAGAGCUAUUAAGAUAAUAUAUUGAGACUAUAUAAAAAUGCUGACCACAGUGCCUGGCAGGUUAUGAUAUGAAGUGUUAUCAUCCCAUUCUUCCCAGAUGUUCCAGGAGAGUCCAGGGGGGUAAACUCUAUGCAGGAAAAACAUACCUGCUCUCUAGAAGGUUCUUGCUAAAACCAAAGUAGAUAGAUACCAUGGUAGUCAUACUUUACAUCAGACAGUGAAUGGUCUAAAGGAUUUGAACAGAGCCAUCUGAGGAGCUCAAGUUGCAGUUUAUUGUGGAACUGCUUUCAGAGGCUGGACAUUUAGAAAGGAAGCUACACAAAUGUUAAGGCCUCACAUUUACCCCAAGGCAAAUCACUUGGCCAUUUUCUGACUGGAUUGGUUUCCAUGGAAUAGAGAAGCUCUGUUUUAAUGUGUUCUAGCCAGUUUUCAGCCUACACAAUGAUUACAAUCAGAUCCAACCUGGUUUGAGUAGAAUUUGCCAGUAGAAUGUCAUGAGACUGCAGAGCCAAUUCUUUAUUACUUUAAUAAAUCUUAACAUAUGACAACUACAGUUUGAUCAAUAACUAGCAGUGUUUUUGUAAUUUUAACACAAAGAGCAAUGGAUUGUGUCUGGUAUGAUGUGUACUCACCAUUUUGAGGUCAUCCUGCUGAUUGAGCAUAAUUUCAUUCUCCCCACUGAUGUUCACCAAGGUUUUCUUUUGUGACUGGUUGGUUCUUUGACCAGGUAGAGAUGCCAGUGGAAGAGGCAGUCGUUGCUGGUUCUCUUUCCUUUCUGAGGACCAGAGGAGCAACUCCCUGUCUCCAUUCAGCUGGGCAAUUUCCUGAUCAAAGGAUCUAUGGAAGCUGUACACACUGUCUUCAGGAGAAUGUGCAACUUCAAAUAGACAAUGAAUUUGCAUAAAUGGACUCCUAGAUAACAACCCUUGCUAUAAAAACCAUUCUACUCCUAAAAGUAGCAAUGCAAACAAAGCUUUCAUUUGCAAUUACUAAGUGAAUGUAAAUAUGUCUUUUAUAGUAUUUGACAUGCUGUCUACACAAGUUGCUAUACUUUUCUCAAAACAUAUAUUUCGCAGUGCCCCCAUGACUUUGCUUCACCACUGCAGGGCAUCUCAGCACAGUUCAGUUUAGGAACUGCACCUCCAAGGCCAACCAUGAUGUCUGCAAUACAUGGAACCCUGGUGGAUUGAAUUAGGUCCUAUUUUAUUUGUGGAUCAUUAGAUAGAGAUUUAUCUCAUGUCUCAGGCUCACACAUAGCUUUUAUACAGAAUAUAUGUUUCUUUAAAUAUGUAGUAUUAGAAGAAUUAUUAUCACAAAGUCAAAGUUAACUUAAGACCAGAUAACAUUGGAUUGAUAUUAUCAAAUACUAUCCCAAGAUAGUUUAAAGUUUCAGUAUCAGAUUGCUUUAUAUCCUUCUUAGUGAUACUAUAUCUUUGUAAAGCUGGGUUUUGGCAGUUGCUGUGAUGAAAAUCAAUGUGUAAUAGGAAAUGAUGGUGGGGACUUCCAAUCAGAUUCCAAGAUUGGUUGAUUGAUUGAUUGAUUUUUAGGGCUGCAGGUGGGUCAUAUGGAAGUUCCCAGGCUAGUGCAAAUCAGAGCUAUAGAUACUGGCUACGCCAUGGCCAGAGCAAUGCCAGAUCUGAGC
This is a non-coding RNA of Sus scrofa (pig), 11279 nucleotides long. The record is from RefSeq and is a predicted model, not a curated record. NCBI's taxonomy places the organism in Eukaryota, Metazoa, Chordata, Mammalia, Artiodactyla, Suidae.